UACGUAGGUGGCAAGCGUUGUCCGGAUUUACUGGGCGUAAAGAGCGCGCAGGCGGUCGGAUAAGUCGAAUGUGAAAGCCCCCGGCUCAACUGGGGAGGGUCAUUCGAUACUGUUCGACUCGAAGGCAGGAGAGGGAAGUGGAAUUCCCGGUGUAGUGGUGAAAUGCGUAGAUAUCGGGAGGAACACCAGUGGCGAAGGCGACUUCCCGGCCUGUUCUUGACGCUGAGGCGCGAAAGCUAGGGGAGCAAACGGG
Molecule: ribosomal RNA, 253 nt
Filed under: uncultured bacterium
Lineage: Bacteria
Description: partial 16S ribosomal RNA
Rfam family: Bacterial small subunit ribosomal RNA
Source: RNAcentral